CGACCGCUUGUGCAGCCGCCAUUUCUUCUGACCAUCGACUGUCCACCGGAUUGUAAAACAGCCUGGAGCCAAGCAUCAUCAGACCAUAGAAGAUUGCCAUGGCAAGUUCAAAACCUGCAAGACUGAAGGUGAUUCUAGGAGAGAGCAACACUGAAAAACUGACUCUUUCAAAUGGCAUACCAGAUUCUCUGGAUGAUCUUCUCAGCAAGGUGAAGGAUACCUUUGGUUUAAAGACCAACAUCAGACUGCAAUAUAUGGACAAAGACUUUGGUAAUGACUUCUUCAACCUCAGCUCAACUUCUGACCUUGUGGACUUGGGAACAGUCAAGGUGAUUCAAGAAGAAGCAGUUCAACCUUUUGUUGAUGUCAUUGAAACAGCUCCAUCUUCUUCUGCAGUUCACUCAGAUGACAGCAGUUCUUUAGCUUCAAAUGACACUAUACUCCUCUCCUCCCCUGAAUCCUUCUCAUCGCGAACAAAACAAUGGCCAGCCAACUUUCCCAUUCCCAUGUUUUCGUAUGACACUGAACGUCAGCUACAGAAGGGGAAUUCUGAGU
Long non-coding RNA from Poeciliopsis prolifica (blackstripe livebearer), 555 nucleotides. RefSeq lists it as uncharacterized. The transcript is spliced from 3 exons. NCBI's taxonomy places the organism in Eukaryota, Metazoa, Chordata, Actinopteri, Cyprinodontiformes, Poeciliidae. The record is from RefSeq and is a predicted model, not a curated record.